AAGCCUGUAGCCCAACGGAAGAGGCAAUAGUUUCAGAAACUAUGCAGUAACAGUUCGAAUCUGUUCAGGC
This 70-nucleotide transfer RNA is filed under the name Chitinophagaceae bacterium. RNAcentral's name for it is "tRNA-Leu". It matches the Rfam family "tRNA". From Rfam's summary of the family: Transfer RNA (tRNA) molecules are approximately 80 nucleotides in length. Their secondary structure includes four short double-helical elements and three loops (D, anti-codon, and T loops). Lineage: Bacteria; Pseudomonadati; Bacteroidota; Chitinophagia; Chitinophagales; Chitinophagaceae. The record is from RNAcentral.